CAGUCGCCGCGGUAAUACGUAGGGUGCAAGCGUUAAUCGGAAUUACUGGGCGUAAAGCGUGCGCAGGCGGUUAUAUAAGUCAGAUGUGAAAUCCCCGGGCUCAACCUGGGAACUGCGUUUGAGACUGUAUGGCUAGAGUGUGCAGAAGAGGAGAGUGGAAUUCCACGUGUAGCGGUGAAAUGCGUAGAGAUGUGGAGGAACACCAGUGGCGAAGGCGGCUUUUUGGCCUGUAACUGACACUGAGGCGCGAAAGCGUGGGGAGCGAACAGGAUUAGAUACCCCCGUAGUCCCUGUCUCUUAU
Molecule: ribosomal RNA, 301 nt
Filed under: uncultured bacterium
Lineage: Bacteria
Description: partial 16S ribosomal RNA
Rfam family: Bacterial small subunit ribosomal RNA
Source: RNAcentral